CUAUAUGUACUUUCUAUUAUGUACUAUAUGUAUUUUAAGAGAUUAAAACUAAACUUUGUAUUUGUGGAUAAUCUAAGCACUAUACCCAGAUGCACAGACACUCUUUCCUUAGCCUGUGUUUUAUAUAAUUUUAACAUUAGCUUUAAUACAAAUU
Molecule: long non-coding RNA, 154 nt
Organism: Chelonia mydas (Green sea turtle)
Lineage: Eukaryota; Metazoa; Chordata; Testudines; Cheloniidae
Exons: 3
Source: RefSeq, a predicted model, not a curated record